CAGCAGUCGCCACGGGAAUACAGAGGGUGCGAGCGUUAAUCGGAUUUACUGGGCGUAAAGCGUGCGUAGGCGGCUUCUUAAGUCGGAUGUGAAAUCCCUGAGCUUAACUUAGGAAUUGCAUUCGAUACUGGGAAGCUAGAGUAUGGGAGAGGAUGGUAGAAUUCCAGGUGUAGCGGUGAAAUGCGUAGAGAUCUGGAGGAAUACCGAUGGCGAAGGCAGCCAUCUGGCCUAAUACUGACGCUGAGGUACGAAAGCAUGGGGAGCAAACAGGAUUAGAUACCCCAGUAGUCCCUGUCUCUUAUAA
Molecule: ribosomal RNA, 304 nt
Filed under: uncultured bacterium
Lineage: Bacteria
Description: partial 16S ribosomal RNA
Rfam family: Bacterial small subunit ribosomal RNA
Source: RNAcentral